This 27-nucleotide non-coding RNA is filed under the name Mus musculus (house mouse). Lineage: Eukaryota; Metazoa; Chordata; Mammalia; Rodentia; Muridae. The record is from RNAcentral.
CAGGCUCUCUGCUGUAAAACACUGCCC